UACGUAGGGUGCGAGCGUUGUCCGGAAUUACUGGGCGUAAAGAGCUCGUAGGUGGUUUGUCGCGUUGUCCGUGAAAACUCACAACUCAAUUGUGGGCGUGCGGGCGAUACGGGCAGACUGGAGUACUGCAGGGGAGACUGGAAUUCCUGGUGUAGCGGUGGAAUGCGUAGAUAUCGGGAGGAACACCAGUGGCGAAGGCGGUUGCCUGGAGCUUUGCUGACGCUGAGGCGCGAAAGCGUGGGGAGCGAUCCGG
Molecule: ribosomal RNA, 253 nt
Filed under: uncultured bacterium
Lineage: Bacteria
Description: partial 16S ribosomal RNA
Rfam family: Bacterial small subunit ribosomal RNA
Source: RNAcentral